RNAcentral lists this ribosomal RNA (337 nucleotides) under uncultured eukaryote. Its description in RNAcentral is "partial 18S ribosomal RNA". It matches the Rfam family "Eukaryotic small subunit ribosomal RNA", at positions 1470 to 1796 of the family's 1831-position model. The record is from RNAcentral.
CCCUGAGAUGUUCUGGGCCACACGCGCACUACACUGACCGAGAGAGCGAGUUUGAUUCUCGCCUUGCGAGCCUGCCCAGUAGCGGGGUGGGAAACCUUCAAAACUCGGUCGUGAUGGGGACCGCAGAUUGCAAUUAUUCCUCGCGAACGAGGAAUGGCUCGUAGGCGCAGGUCAUCAACCUGCACUGAUUACGUCCCUGCCUUUUGUACACACCGCCCGUCGUUGCUACCGAUUGGGUGGGCGCUAGAGCUCGAUGGACCGCCCGUGGGUCUCUCGGGAUCCGCGUGGUGGGAAGUUGCGCAAUAUCGUCCAUCUAGAGGAAGCAAAANUCGUAACA